RNAcentral lists this transfer RNA (71 nucleotides) under Marmota marmota marmota (Alpine marmot). It matches the Rfam family "tRNA". Rfam says of the family: Transfer RNA (tRNA) molecules are approximately 80 nucleotides in length. Their secondary structure includes four short double-helical elements and three loops (D, anti-codon, and T loops). RNAcentral also lists the same sequence under 3 other names. Lineage: Eukaryota; Metazoa; Chordata; Mammalia; Rodentia; Sciuridae. The record is from Rfam by way of RNAcentral.
UGAAUGUUGCUCAGUGGUAGAGUGCUUGUCCAGCAUUUAGGAGGUCCUGGGUUCAAUCCCCAGCACUUCAA